Molecule: long non-coding RNA, 1480 nt
Filed under: Betta splendens (Siamese fighting fish)
Lineage: Eukaryota; Metazoa; Chordata; Actinopteri; Anabantiformes; Osphronemidae
Description: lncRNA (ENSBSLG00000005754.1)
Source: RNAcentral
GUUCGGGUCGAUGUGUGUGAUACCAUCACUCCUUCUCCAUCCGCUCACGAGGACGCAGCGAGAGAUUAACUCUAAUCUCACUUACAACUGCUUAUCGUGCUGCGCGGCUGCAGUCCAGCCUCAGCAGGAAACACUCGGCGUCAGUUGCCGUUACACUUAUGAUACAGCAGCAACUUAAUGUGUCUGUAGGUGAAUUAUUUUUAAGUUGUGGAAGAUUUUGGUUUUACAUACAGUUACAUACAUACACACUUUUCACUGUAUUCUCUGGGUCUUUACAGUAAACACUGAGAAAAGGCCAUUAUACAAACACACACUUCAUAUUAAUAAACCCUGCACAGCUGCGCAGAUGUUUUAGCUCCUCCAACUGACUUACCCUGGCCUUAAAUAGACCUAAAUAAUGAAAAGCACAGUGGUGGAGCAGGCUGAGAUUAUGCGAGGUGGCCCCUCUGUGAGAGCUGCAGGUGGAGUCUGAUGUCUCAUCUUUAGCUGCACACACACUAAGAGGAUUUACUCAGACUGGAAGGGAUAUAAAUAAAGACACAGAUCUUUGCCCUGAGAGACAGUAAAAGAUGGGUUCUGCAGUAAUUUGUAGCUUUUAAACUGGUUGGUGCAAUAAAUGAUCUGUUUAAGAUAAAACCAUUGAUCCCUGAAUUCAUUUGGAUCGAUUUGUUUUUUGGUUCAUGUCAUAUUUCAAGUUAUAAUGUACUAGAAACACUACUUAAGUAAGCAUUAAACCACUGUACUUGUACAUUAUAGGAACUAAUGUUGAAGUUGAGUUGUUACAAAUGUGAUUUUAUCUCCUUCGUGGAUCAUAAAGUGGUUUUUGUCAUGUUGUUCCCCCUCCUCCUCCCGCCACCCCCUGCUGGGAGGUGCUGCAGGGUGGAUCAGCAGCGAGUGCAGACUGAAAAUCACGGGCUGUGUUUGCUCCUGCGUUAAAUCACUCUGUUGGAUCCACACAUGCAGAGAAGCACGGGUCCUCAGCUCAGGUCGGACACGAUGGAGCGCGAACAAACGACGGGAUUCAUCUAGAGCCGCCGCUGACGUCUCCUCGUGUUUGGAUCAGGCCAUGGACAUAGAGGAGCAGACUUCUUUGUUGGGGACAGGACUGGUGUCCAGGAUGUUCCACAUGCUACGGUCUGCACGGAGCAGUGUUGCUCCUGCAGAGGACGGCUUGAGGCGCAGAGGAAGUGAUGCCCAGCGGCUCCUGGCUGCACACAACAUGAACAACUGCAACAACAACGAUGGGUGAGAUCACACGUGGUUGUGUUGCACAAUCACAACACUCUUAGUCCGUCAGCUUAGCACUUCAGCAAGAUCUGUUCUGGUUCUAUUCUAUCUAUUUUUUAUAAUAUCAACAACUACCCCAAGUUGCACUUUGCUGUGUGUGAAAUGCAUUUUUUUCAGUGAAGAUCAGACGUAGGUCAACAUUGGUUGAGCUGAGUUAGAAUAAAUGUUUCCUUUUAAAAAUAUCUAUGUGACA